This 253-nucleotide ribosomal RNA is filed under the name uncultured bacterium. RNAcentral's name for it is "partial 16S ribosomal RNA". It matches the Rfam family "Bacterial small subunit ribosomal RNA", at positions 524 to 776 of the family's 1533-position model. The record is from RNAcentral.
UACGUAGGGGGCAAGCGUUGUCCGGAAUCAUUGGGCGUAAAGCGCGUGUAGGCGGCCAGAAAAGUCCGCUGUGAAAACUCGAGGCUCAACUUCGAGACGUCGGCGGAAACCAUCUGGCUAGAGUCCGGAAGAGGCGAGUGGAAUUCCCGGUGUAGCGGUGAAAUGCGCAGAUAUCGGGAGGAACACCAAUGGCGAAGGCAGCUCGCUGGGACGGUACUGACGCUGAGACGCGAAAGCGUGGGGAGCGAACAGG